GGGAAACAGCUAGACGAAGUUUUGGCGCGGAGCGUCAUUGUGCUGUUGAAUUGUGGGUGGUAUCAAGAUGUAUCAUUUUUUGAAAUGCGUGAUUUCAACUACGUAGUGUUUUCCCGUACCUGCAUGUGAUGAAAUAUAGAACGAAUCGAUCUAUAUACAGCACCUCGAUGCACUAGGAAUUUGCUGAAGAAUUUUUGCUGUCAAGUACCAAAACAUGCUGUGGCUCUGCAGAUCCAUUAAAUAGAAAUACUUAAUUAACAAAUCGAUACGCUGGAAAUGUCGACUUUUUCUCUGGACGCUUAUCCGCAUUUAAAACGGAGCUCCACAAUAUCCGCUUAUCGCGUGAUAAUAAUAUCCUUUUCUCUUUCUUUUCUCGCUGUACGCUUAACAUUGUAUUCUUUUGUACUUGUUAUUGCACCCGUACGAUAAUAAUAAUAAUAAAGAUAAU
Molecule: long non-coding RNA, 448 nt
Organism: Bombus pascuorum
Lineage: Eukaryota; Metazoa; Arthropoda; Insecta; Hymenoptera; Apidae
Exons: 2
Source: RefSeq, a predicted model, not a curated record